Non-coding RNA from Paramisgurnus dabryanus, 683 nucleotides. The record is from RefSeq and is a predicted model, not a curated record. NCBI's taxonomy places the organism in Eukaryota, Metazoa, Chordata, Actinopteri, Cypriniformes, Cobitidae.
AAUAUGUAAUACAUUUACGUUUUAAUGAAUAGUCUAACGAUUUAUAGUCGUUGUACUCUAUUGUUAUAAUAUGUCUUUUUGACUGAAUACAUGUUUGUUUUAUUUGUCUAUAUCCUAGAUUCGCAGCUGUACACAUCCUUCUACAAUGUAUGCAAACAUGCAACAUCAUUACACACAGUACAAGGAGUCAGACUGGCAUAUGAGGAGCAAAGGUGUGUAACACAUAUGAUGUAUUUAGCUAGUGAAACCACUACCAGUCUUAGAUGUAUAACUGAUGAUGACAAAGUUUUUUUUCUCUGCAUAAUAAUAGGAACCCAGGCAGUAGCAUCGUUUCACAAUGUUUCCAUCACCAUCAUCAGUGGAUGCCUUUGCCGUCCGUAGCCUGAGAUUUCAGAUUUGCAGCAAAAAAAUUUGAUUUUCUCAUUUAUUGGAAUGCUGUGCAGGUAUUUGUACCUUGCAGCCAUCCAUUACAAUGUCACCAAGCCGUAACAAAAGCAGGAGAGGGAAAGUACAAGGCUAUGUUCCCAAAACACACAAGUGACAUACCUUAUGUGGAUGAUGUGAUCAGGCUUGUGUUUGAUGAGGUAUUUGAAGAUAAGCUGAAGGAAGCCCCGAUUCCAAUGGACCUGGCAUCACAGUUUGAGAGACCUUCAAAGGAGGACGUGAUUGCAUGCCAUCUUCAG